Molecule: non-coding RNA, 1063 nt
Organism: Rattus norvegicus (Norway rat)
Lineage: Eukaryota; Metazoa; Chordata; Mammalia; Rodentia; Muridae
Source: RefSeq, a predicted model, not a curated record
AUGGCAGAAGUCCCUGCUAAGAUUCCUUGGUGCUUACCAUGUAAAGCUGUCGGGCUUCUAGCAGGAGGCCAGUGGCCAGCCACGAAGUGGUUGAAUCUGCCUAGAGUAACCAUUGACCAGCCCCAGAAACUAAUCAAGGGUGAAAUACAUGUGAACUGGCAAGCCUAGAUUCGAGAGGACAAGCGGGAAAGAGUGUCAUCAGAGAGUCUGCUGGGAGAGAAUGGAUAAAAGAAUCUCUGUUCAUUCUAACAUCAGGCUACAGCACUGAGCUUCUAAUGAGAGAGGAUGGAGCUCGUAGACGCUCCAGUUGGAUCGUGGCCUUUGAUUCCGUGUGGCAUCCUGGCUCCAGGGUGGCGUCCCGUGGCACCCACUCAUGCUGUGGUUUGACCUAUUAGAAGGACCCAUAGCCCUGAUGAUCUGGAAGACUGCACAGCCAUUGCAAUGCCUUACUCAACUUGCUUCUCUGCUAUCAUAGAUGAAGUGUCCGUUAUCAAAUCAUAAGCGUCCCCACGCUUAUGCGAGUGACCCUUGCGUUUCCCUGGCCACUCACUCCAUGGUGUUUUGACAAGACUUUCCUGUAGAGACCACAGUUGCCGCCAAGCACCCUGCACAGGACAGCUCCCUUCUGGCCCCAGUGAAGAACUCUGCUGGUGUUGAGACAACAUGGACCGGUAAAUAGGAAGCCCUUUACUGGCUGACAGGGUUGAUCUGCGGUUCGCACAGUGCAGCCUUCCUCAUUGCUGUGCAGGAACUCCCACUUCGGAAGAAUGAAUGAAAUUACGCAUGCAACGCCGGUGCGGCCUGGUCACUGGUUGCUGGGCAAAAGCUAAGUCCUCACUGCCAGCUAACUCAUCCUGGAGGGCCUAUGGCAGACUCUGGGACAUUCUUCAAUUCUUCCCACCCAUCCCCUCUUCGCUUUAGGCCUUGUUUCCCAUGGCCGUCUCCUCAUUGGGAACAGGAGUGGCCUUGGACACCUUUCAAAUGCGGGGGAGUUGGGAAGCCACACCUCAGUCUGCUUUUCUAUCUGCCAAAUUAUUAAAUUCCUCGUAGCCUUUCCUCUGGG